Non-coding RNA from Meleagris gallopavo (turkey), 1198 nucleotides. NCBI's taxonomy places the organism in Eukaryota, Metazoa, Chordata, Aves, Galliformes, Phasianidae. The record is from RefSeq and is a predicted model, not a curated record.
UUUGGCCUUUUCAGCUGUUUUGUAAACACUUCUGUGAUUUGUUCAUUUUUUCCUCAGAGGUUCUAGAGUUAUAUACAUAGACAUUAGACUUCAAUUUUUUGAAGUCUUAUGUCACCUUAUUAGAAGGAGUAUUUUUUGGCAGAGCAGGGGGUGCCUGUAGAUGUCCCUGUUAAUUGCAGGGGAGCUGGACUAGAUGACUUUUAAAUGUCUCUUCUAACUCAAAUUAUUCUGAUUCUAUUCCUCUGCUCUUUAUUUUAUUGAGAAAUGAUGCAUUUGGCAGUUCACAAUGUCAGAUGCUUCCAUGUCACAUGAAAACAAGCUGCUGGAUUUGGAUGCUUCCUAUUCCUGUAAAGGAUAGUUUUAAAUUACAGUUGUGGUGUGCAUUUAAUCAAUUUCCACCUAACAAACAAAGCUGUAAUUUUAAAAAAACGACAUAUUGUUAGUUGAUUCUUGUACUUACAGGACAGUUUGCUGAUUAAUUCAAUUAAAAAAAUUCAAGACACAAUUGCUACAUGGAAAUCUAAUUAGUUGCACUCAAAAAAAAAAAAAAAGGAAAAAAAAAGGGAAAAAAAAAGACAAAACUCCAAAGUGAUGUUUUGACAUCGAAAUCUUUUAAAAUCUUUGGUAGGGUAUCUUUGUAAGAGCCAGAUAAAUAGUGCUUCAGCUGACUGUCACUAUUACGUUAUUUAAAUAAAAAUAUUUUCAUAAUUCAUUUUACUUCUGGUGCACACAUUCAGUACACAAUAAAUGUUUUUCUCAAUGUCUGAGUUCCAGGUCAUCAACUUUGCAUAAGAUCAGCUACUUUAUAAUAAUUCCAACCUGCAUAUAUACCAGAGCUGUCAAAUCCAAGGCCUUUCACUGGGAAUUAUUUGUAUGAAAUAUGAAUCUUGUCACCACUGAUGUACUCAAGCAAGUCUGUUUCUUGACUAUAAGACCCCAGACUGUUGUGAUUUUAUGAUUUUUGUUAUCAAUAUUCCACAUCAUCACAUCAUGUAGUGCACUGGGAGUCUCAGAAGAAAUGCACUACAGCUCCCAAAAAACAUUGCUGUUCUGUUUCCGUUUCUCUCUUUGCUCCCUGAUGGAUCAGAGUAAGAACUUUCAGAAGUUUUCAGAAAGUCUCAUUUAAUUUCAUUUAUUAGCUCCAAACCCAAUUAACUUGUGUUUCUGCUAUUAUGAUUAGUAAAUUAAUGUUUCUCAA